GGGGAUUUAGCUCAGUGGUAGAGCACUUGCCUAGCAAGCGAAAGGCCCUGGGUUCGGUCCUCAGCUCCG
RNAcentral lists this transfer RNA (69 nucleotides) under Rattus norvegicus (Norway rat). It matches the Rfam family "tRNA". From Rfam's summary of the family: Transfer RNA (tRNA) molecules are approximately 80 nucleotides in length. Lineage: Eukaryota; Metazoa; Chordata; Mammalia; Rodentia; Muridae. The record is from Rfam by way of RNAcentral.